Molecule: ribosomal RNA, 2905 nt
Filed under: Yersinia mollaretii
Lineage: Bacteria; Pseudomonadati; Pseudomonadota; Gammaproteobacteria; Enterobacterales; Yersiniaceae
Description: bacterial LSU rRNA
Rfam family: Bacterial large subunit ribosomal RNA
Source: RNAcentral
UUAAGCGACUAAGCGUACACGGUGGAUGCCUAGGCAGUCAGAGGCGAUGAAGGGCGUGCUAAUCUGCGAAAAGCGUCGGUAAGGUGAUAUGAACCGUUACAACCGACGAUACCCGAAUGGGGAAACCCAGUGCAAUUCGUUGCACUAUUGCAUGGUGAAUACAUAGCCAUGCAAGGCGAACCGGGGGAACUGAAACAUCUAAGUACCCCGAGGAAAAGAAAUCAACCGAGAUUCCCCCAGUAGCGGCGAGCGAACGGGGAAGAGCCCAGAGUCUGAAUCAGUUUGUGUGUUAGUGGAAGCGUCUGGAAAGUCGCACGGUACAGGGUGAUAGUCCCGUACACAAAAACACACUUGCUGUGAACUCGAUGAGUAGGGCGGGACACGUGACAUCCUGUCUGAAUAUGGGGGGACCAUCCUCCAAGGCUAAAUACUCCUGACUGACCGAUAGUGAACCAGUACCGUGAGGGAAAGGCGAAAAGAACCCCGGCGAGGGGAGUGAAAUAGAACCUGAAACCGUGUACGUACAAGCAGUGGGAGCACCUUCGUGGUGUGACUGCGUACCUUUUGUAUAAUGGGUCAGCGACUUAUAUUUUGUAGCAAGGUUAACCGAAUAGGGGAGCCGUAGGGAAACCGAGUCUUAACUGGGCGUCUAGUUGCAAGGUAUAGACCCGAAACCCGGUGAUCUAGCCAUGGGCAGGUUGAAGGUUGGGUAACACUAACUGGAGGACCGAACCGACUAAUGUUGAAAAAUUAGCGGAUGACUUGUGGCUGGGGGUGAAAGGCCAAUCAAACCGGGAGAUAGCUGGUUCUCCCCGAAAGCUAUUUAGGUAGCGCCUCGUGAACUCAUCUUCGGGGGUAGAGCACUGUUUCGGCUAGGGGGUCAUCCCGACUUACCAAACCGAUGCAAACUCCGAAUACCGAAGAAUGUUAUCACGGGAGACACACGGCGGGUGCUAACGUCCGUCGUGAAGAGGGAAACAACCCAGACCGCCAGCUAAGGUCCCAAAGUCAUGGUUAAGUGGGAAACGAUGUGGGAAGGCAUAGACAGCCAGGAUGUUGGCUUAGAAGCAGCCAUCAUUUAAAGAAAGCGUAAUAGCUCACUGGUCGAGUCGGCCUGCGCGGAAGAUGUAACGGGGCUAAACCAUGCACCGAAGCUGCGGCAGCGACACUUAGGUGUUGUUGGGUAGGGGAGCGUUCUGUAAGCCGUUGAAGGUGACCUGUGAGGGUUGCUGGAGGUAUCAGAAGUGCGAAUGCUGACAUAAGUAACGAUAAUGCGGGUGAAAAACCCGCACGCCGGAAGACCAAGGGUUCCUGUCCAACGUUAAUCGGGGCAGGGUGAGUCGACCCCUAAGGCGAGGCUGAAAAGCGUAGUCGAUGGGAAACAGGUUAAUAUUCCUGUACUUGGUGUUACUGCGAAGGGGGGACGGAGAAGGCUAGGCUAGCCGGGCGACGGUUGUCCCGGUUUAAGCAUGUAGGCGGAGUGACUUGGUAAAUCCGGUUGCUUAUCAACGCUGAGGUGUGAUGACGAUGCACUACGGUGCAGAAGUAGUUGAUGCCAUGCUUCCAGGAAAAGCCUCUAAGCAUCAGGUAACAUUAAAUCGUACCCCAAACCGACACAGGUGGUCAGGUAGAGAAUACUCAGGCGCUUGAGAGAACUCGGGUGAAGGAACUAGGCAAAAUGGUGCCGUAACUUCGGGAGAAGGCACGCUGGCAUUAGGUAAAGGGACUUGCUCCCGGCGCCGAAGCCAGUCGCAGAUACCAGCUGGCUGCAACUGUUUAAUAAAAACACAGCACUGUGCAAACACGAAAGUGGACGUAUACGGUGUGACGCCUGCCCGGUGCUGGAAGGUUAAUUGAUGGGGUCAGCCUUACGGCGAAGCUCUUGAUCGAAGCCCCAGUAAACGGCGGCCGUAACUAUAACGGUCCUAAGGUAGCGAAAUUCCUUGUCGGGUAAGUUCCGACCUGCACGAAUGGCGUAAUGAUGGCCAGGCUGUCUCCACCCGAGACUCAGUGAAAUUGAACUCGCUGUGAAGAUGCAGUGUACCCGCGGCAAGACGGAAAGACCCCGUGAACCUUUACUAUAGCUUGACACUGAACAUUGAGCCUUGAUGUGUAGGAUAGGUGGGAGGCAUCGAAGUGUGGACGCCAGUCUGCAUGGAGCCAACCUUGAAAUACCACCCUUUAAUGUUUGAUGUUCUAACUCGGCCCCGUGAUCCGGGGUGAGGACAGUGUCUGGUGGGUAGUUUGACUGGGGCGGUCUCCUCCCAAAGAGUAACGGAGGAGCACGAAGGUUAGCUAAUCACGGUCGGACAUCGUGAGGUUAGUGCAAAGGCAUAAGCUAGCUUGACUGCGAGAGUGACGGCUCGAGCAGGUACGAAAGUAGGUCUUAGUGAUCCGGUGGUUCUGAAUGGAAGGGCCAUCGCUCAACGGAUAAAAGGUACUCCGGGGAUAACAGGCUGAUACCGCCCAAGAGUUCAUAUCGACGGCGGUGUUUGGCACCUCGAUGUCGGCUCAUCACAUCCUGGGGCUGAAGUAGGUCCCAAGGGUAUGGCUGUUCGCCAUUUAAAGUGGUACGCGAGCUGGGUUUAGAACGUCGUGAGACAGUUCGGUCCCUAUCUGCCGUGGGCGUUGGAAGAUUGAGAGGGGCUGCUCCUAGUACGAGAGGACCGGAGUGGACGAAUCACUGGUGUUCGGGUUGUCAUGCCAAUGGCAUUGCCCGGUAGCUAAAUUCGGAAGAGAUAACCGCUGAAAGCAUCUAAGCGGGAAACUUGCCUCGAGAUGAGUCUUCCCUGGGGCUUUAAGCCCCCUGAAGGAACGUUAAAGACUAUGACGUUGAUAGGCUGGGUGUGUAAGUGCAGCGAUGCAUUGAGCUAACCAGUACUAAUGAUCCGUGAGGCUUAACCUU